UGGCUUAGACAGUAAAGAGUCUGUCUGCAAUGCAGGAGACCCAGGUUCAAUCCCUGG
This 57-nucleotide transfer RNA is filed under the name Bos taurus (domestic cattle). It matches the Rfam family "tRNA", at positions 8 to 63 of the family's 71-position model. From Rfam's summary of the family: Transfer RNA (tRNA) molecules are approximately 80 nucleotides in length. Their secondary structure includes four short double-helical elements and three loops (D, anti-codon, and T loops). Further hydrogen bonds mediate the characteristic L-shaped molecular structure. tRNAs have two regions of fundamental functional importance: the anti-codon, which is responsible for specific mRNA codon recognition, and the 3' end, to which the tRNAs corresponding amino acid is attached (by aminoacyl-tRNA synthetases). tRNAs cope with the degeneracy of the genetic code in two manners: having more than one tRNA (with a specific anti-codon) for a particular amino acid; and 'wobble' base-pairing, i.e. permitting non-standard base-pairing at the 3rd anti-codon position. The record is from Rfam by way of RNAcentral. Lineage: Eukaryota; Metazoa; Chordata; Mammalia; Artiodactyla; Bovidae. RNAcentral also lists the same sequence under 4 other names.